CCUCCUCUUCUCUCUCUCCUCUUCUCUCCCUCCACUUCUCUGCCUCCUCUUCUCUCCCUCCUCUUCUCUGCCUCCUCUUCUCUCCCUCAUCUUCUCUCCCUCCACUUCUGUCCCUCCACUUCUCUCCCUCCUCUUCUCUCUCUCCUCUUCUCUGCCUCCUCUUCUCUGCCUUCUUUCCUCUUCCCUCCACUUCCCUCCUUUUCUAUCUUCUUCUCUCCUCUUCCUCUCAUCUCCUCUUACCUCUCCCCACUCUUCAAUUCCACAUUGUUCCUACAGUGUAACGGAUACAGUGAAGUAAAAUGCAGGCAGGCAAGGCCCCAUCAAAGAAAAUGUUUUUAAAAAGCCAAGCCAAGUCUGAAUGUGCCCAGAGACAUGGCAUGUGUGCAACCUGUGUGUGGUUGGUGUGAGCCUCUCUCUCUCUCUCUCUCCUCUCUCUCUCCUCUCUCUCUCUGUUCUCUUAGCUUCUCUUAGCAGUUCUCUAUGCUUCUCUCAGCUGUUCUCUAUGCUUCUCUCAGCUGUUCUCUAUGUUUCUCUAAGCUGUUCUCUGUGCUUCUCUAAGCUGUUCUCUAUGUUUCUCUCAGCUGUUCUCUAUGUUUCUCUAAGCUGUUCUCUGUGCUUCUCUAAGCUGUUCUCUAUGUUUCUCUCAGCUGUUCUCUAUGUUUCUCUAAGCUGUUCUCUAUGCUUCUCUUAGCUGUUCUCUAUGCUUCUCUAAGCUGUUCUCUAUGUUUCUCUCAGCUGUUCUCUAUGCUUCUCUAAGCUGUUCUCUGUGCUUCUCUUAGCUGUUCUCUAUGCUUCUCUAAGCUGUUCUCUAGGCUUCUCUUAGCAGUUCUCUUCUCUAAGCUGUUCUCUAUGCUUCUCUUAGCUGUUCUCUAAAAU
Long non-coding RNA from Oncorhynchus tshawytscha (Chinook salmon), 876 nucleotides. NCBI's taxonomy places the organism in Eukaryota, Metazoa, Chordata, Actinopteri, Salmoniformes, Salmonidae. The record is from Ensembl.